This 434-nucleotide ribosomal RNA is filed under the name uncultured bacterium. Its description in RNAcentral is "partial 16S ribosomal RNA". It matches the Rfam family "Bacterial small subunit ribosomal RNA", at positions 29 to 507 of the family's 1533-position model. The record is from RNAcentral.
AGCGAACGCUGGCGGCAGGCCUAACACAUGCAAGUCGAACGAACCUUUCGGGGUUAGUGGCGGACGGGUGAGUAACACGUGGGAACGUGCCUUUAUGUUCGGAAUAACUCAGGGAAACUUGUGCUAAUACCGAAUGUGCCCUUCGGGGGAAAGAUUAAUCGCCUUUAGAGCGGCCCGCGUCUGAUUAGCUAGUUGGUUGAGGUAAUGGCUCACCAAGGCGACGAUCAGUAGCUGGUCUGAGAGGAUGAUCAGCCACAUUGGGACUGAGACACGGCCCAAACUCCUACGGGAGGCAGCAGUGGGGAAUCUUGCGCAAUGGGCGAAAGCCUGACGCAGCCAUGCCGCGUGAAUGAUGAAGGUCUUAGGAUUGUAAAAUUCUUUCACCGGGGACGAUAAUGACGGUACCCGGAGAAGAAGCCCCGGCUAACUUCGUG